RNAcentral lists this long non-coding RNA (8849 nucleotides) under Salmo salar (Atlantic salmon). Its description in RNAcentral is "lncRNA (ENSSSAG00000085387.1)". The record is from RNAcentral. Lineage: Eukaryota; Metazoa; Chordata; Actinopteri; Salmoniformes; Salmonidae.
UAACAGGAAUCGCAGUUCAUUCAGGAGAUUCGUUCGUCUGGCUGGCAUGCACAACAAGCCAGUUCUGGUCACCGGCUCCUCGGACUUGGAGAGGAGCUAGAGGUGCACCUUGUUAUGCCAUCACUCAAGAGCAACAGACUACUUCUACAAACGAGGCUACACUUGUGGCAGCACCUAUUCCUGUGGCCCCCCCAUCUUCUGCACCACUUCCUGUGGCCUCCCCUCCACCAUUCCCUGAGGCUUAUCGUCCACCUUCACCACACUCUUCUGUUGAUGUUGGUGAUGACAAUGAUGUUGACCUCCAAACACUGCUGAAGUUAAUGAGAUGCCAACCAAAUGAACGUGGGAUGCUGACGGUAAAGGGGCAGCUGAUGAGGGUGGUCCCUCAUGAGAAUUUCCCCAGCUGCUAAUGAGUGCCAUCCAUUCCUCUGCAAUAUUUGAGGGACCUGAUUGACAAAAAUGCCUUUCUUGCAACUCUCAAGCACUCUAUGAUGGCGUAUACAAGCAGGUGGGCCGCAUGAUUGCUGUCUGUCUGGUACAUGGGGGUGUAGAGACACCAUUUUUUCAGAGAGGCUAUACAGGCAAGUGUGUGGCCUAAAACCUCCUGUGCCAGAACUGAAAGAAAUUGCGGAAUAUGACUUCAGAGAGAAGUUGGAGAAGGGGGGAACACAUACUCUUUAACCAUGGAGAAGGUUUUCGUUUUCACUUCAGGGGCUUCAGCAUUCCUAGGCUGGGAUUGCCAGUGGAGCCACAACUACAGUUCUCUGCAACCGCACAGCAAGCGGUACCGGAGCGCCAAGUCUAGGUCCAAGAGGCUUCUAAACAGCUUCUACCCCCAAGCCAUAAGACUACUGAACAUCUAAUCAAAUGGCUACCCAGACUAUUUUCUGCUACUCUAUCUAUGCAUAGUCACUUUAAUAUCUCUACCUAUAUGUAUAUAUGACUAACCAGUGCCCCCGCACAUUCUCUGUACCUGUACUCCCCCUGUAUAUAGCUUCACUAUUGUUAUUUUCCUGAUGCUCUUUAAUUAUUUACUUUUUUUUUUUUUUUGUAGCUGCAUUGUUGUUUAAGGGCUUGUAAGUAAGCAUUUCACUGUAAGGUCUACACCUGUUGUAUUUGGUGCAUGUGACAAAGACAAUUUGAUUUGAUUUAAAGAAUUCAUUUAAGGGGAAUUAUCCAAAACGUUUAUUGCAUGACCACCUAGUAAAUUCGGAAUACUGCAGCCAAUGUUAAUUGAUGUGCUAGCUAGCUGACUUCUGUGGCUAGCUACCAUAGGUGAGAACGGGGGUUGAAAAUGCUUCGAGGGAAUCCAAAAGUGAAGGUGGAGGUAGGGGACGAUUAUGGCCAAGGAGGUGCGUGUGCAUGGACGUCGGAGGAUCUGGCUGAGGAGAUCGCCAGGACGUCGGAGCCCAGAGGCCGCUUGAGGGAGGACGUUAGAGUGAUGGUUGCUGAAGCGGGCAUGAGUGCUUCAUUGACUGUGCUUCGCGCGGAUUCUGGUGGGCGGACCGAAGGGGUGACGUCGACGAGGAAUCUGGGGCUCAGGAUGUAAACAAACAUGGCGGCGCCCAGCUCCCGGCUGUGUCCGUAUCUGUUAAGACCCCGACGUAUUCCGGUAAGGCGGAUUGGGAAGCUUUUCAUGCUCAGUUUGAACUGUUAGCUCAUUUUAGGGGAUGAUCACGGAUGAUGCUCUGGCCUGUUUGAUAUUGAUUAGCCCCGAGGACAGACGUGAUUAUGGUGCUUCAGUGGGAGCACUGAGGAGGCGCUAUGGACUGUAUGUACAGCCCGGCUGCUGCGCUCCGAACUGAGUAAUAGACGCAGGCAGCCUGGAGAGCCUCUACGGGUGCUAGCUAAUGACAUUAAGAGCCUCUCUCGGCCGGCAUAUGCUCACAUGCCCCCCUCCGUGCAGAGCGAGCUAGCACGGGACCAGUUCAUACAGGCGCUCUCCUACGGAGCUGCGCAUACAGACCCAGCUGGCUCAUCCUGAGUCAUUGCCGAUAGCUUUGGAGAGGGAGCUGGUGUGGGCUGGGGCUUUGGUGGGGGUGCAGGGAGACAGACCCUCUGUGCGGGCUGGGGGGCAGAGCAGCCCAGACCUGGAAAAGCCUGCAUGGGUGGCUGAAAUGACAGAACUCAUAGCGUGCUGUGUCGCUACCCUAGUCCCAGGGUCUGCUGGGGUUGUUGCCAGCCAGGCCAUCUGCGCAGGGGUUGCCCCUUGUCCCCCAGAGCUCAGGGAAACGGCUCGGGGUCCGCAUAGACCGGGUAGUGUGGACCCCUGGCUUUCUUUCCCAACCACCAUCUUCUUCAGGAGGAGCCCACCGGCCCAGACGGGGAAGCAAGGCUCCACUUCCCCCAGAAGCAGACGAGGGCAAGCGGAUGGAGCCUGUCGUUGUGAUGGGCCGGACCUGUGUUGGAGACUUUUGUCAUGUCCCUGUCACUGUGGAGGGUGUUCCCUGCUCUGCCCUGGUUGACACUGGGUCCACAGUAACCCUGGUGAGGCCGGAUAUUGUGCCAGGUUGGACUCAGUGUGAACCCACAACUGUGCAGCUCCGCACAGUCACAGGUGAGCUGGCACCCAUGAAAGGGAAGGGAAUAAUGACUCUGACAGUAGGGGGCAGGUCUGUGCGUCAUCCUGUGUGGGUGGCGGCUGUGCAGGACCCUUGCAUCCUGGGGUUGGACUUUCUUAGGCGCACAGGCUGGCAGUUAGACCUAAAUGGGGGAACACAGAGCUUCCAGGGAGGGCCGGCAGUCACCAUGGCCCCCCUAAUGUCACAUUCACUCAACCCAACAAACCCUUUACUCCAACAGUUAAAGCAGCAGAGACUCAUGGCUGCCCCCCCUCCCCCCACAUCUGUGUGACUUUUCCCCAGGCCCCCUGUCACCUACGGCUGUGCGUUACAUUCCCUCGGCUACCUCCACGACACAUCCCUCCGUGGCAGUUGCUGUUUGAAUUCAGAGACGGCUUUGCGCUGAGUGAGGAAGAGGUGGGUCAGACUCAUCUGGUGCAGCAUGAGAUCGACACAGGUGAUGCUUGACCCAUCAAGAUGCGUCCCCGCCGUAUCCCGCUGGCACGCCAGGAGGCGGCAGACAAGGCUGUGUUGAAAGGAGGGAGUAGUGUAACGACCCUGGGUUUAUAAGCGUGGAAAUCGACUCUGCCGCUCGAGCAUGCUUUUGCGGCACAGUCGAUAGCGCGCUGGACUUCGGGCUAGAAGGUCGAGGGUUCGAGACCUGCUGUUUCAUUACAUUGGUGUCAGAAGUGAUCGAACCUUGCAUCCACGACAGUGCGUGUGCUUGGCUGGUGAGCACGUUUCAAGACCUCCCUGCCUGUUUCAUUACAGUAUAUUUAGCAGCUGUAGGCGUUAACUUGACGUGUGCAGGACCGCUUGCAGCUGUUUAUUUAGCACAUGUUGAAAAAACGACUUUAUAUCGGUGUUAUAUGCAUGUUCACACGCGUAUCUGCCGUCUCAUUGACUAGAAUGGUCCCACUUCAACAGCUGAGGGAUAUACUGAUCGCCAAGGUGGAUUUCGUGGCAUUUUAUUGUGCAAGUGAUUAAUUGUACUGGCCAAAUGAGUCCAAGAAACUGGCCGUCGUAUCUGCGGGUGAAAGGUUCUUGGGUAUCCACGAUUUCACGGCUGAAACGUAAGGAAUACUGUCUGAAUAUGUUAUUCUUUCUCAGGCACCAGAGAGCCUGUAGCAAUCAGUUGUUUCAUUGUCAUUUGUUUAUUAUUUGGGAAGAAUGUGAUUUCUCUCCCCCUUUUUCUCUUAUUGUUUUAUUUGAUCUCGUAUACUACCCUGUACAGUGGGUGGCGGCAUGCACCUCUAACAUGUUUGCGUACCGCUAUAAUACCAUAGAAGAGUUGUCCCAACUGAUCGGUCAUGGCUAAAAGUUAAAUUAACGUCAAAAGUAGUUCAUUUUGCAUUUUAGCUAACUUUAACCUAAUUAUUCUAACCUGCUCCAGAAAGUAAAAUAUGACAAAACCCACCUGGUCUCUUCCUCGGGCCUGCCUUCCUUCUUUGAAGACAGAAAAACAGGAGAACUGUGCAAUGUCUGGAUAUGGAACGUCGGAAUCUACACCGAGAGAUUUGCCGACUAUCCUCAGGUGUUGUGAAGAGAAGGUUUGACUGGACGUUGUUACUGGGAGGCUGAGUGCGGUGGGAAAUCGUUUAAUGCAGGUGUGGCAUAUGAAGACAUGAGCAGGGUUGGAAAAGAGCUCAACUGUUUAUUUUGUUACAAUGACAAAUCCUGGAGCCUGAGACGCCUCAAACGUCGUUUCCUCAAACGCUGACAAAGUUGGGGUGUAGCUGAACUCCUCAAGGCAUUCUGUCCUAACAAGUCUACGACACACCUGCAUUUCACUCAACCUUCACUGAACCACUCUAUGCAAUACUGUCAGUCAGUGACUAUUCAUCAGUGUCUCCGUGCUUGGUCUCAAAUGAGGAGAAAAGGAGGAUGGCAGAUGGUUAAGAUAAUAUCCUGUUCGAGGGAGAGAUCAGUUGACUGAGAAAAUACAUUUGAAAAAAUUCACAAUAUUUUCCAUAAUGAUUUGAACAUUUCAAUGUUCUGAAUGACCUCCAUUCUUAACGUGUUUAUAUCGGAGGUCUUACUGUACACCUCAAACUAUUCAGAUUAACAGUAUACACCAUUCCAUGGUCUUAGUAAAAAAAAUGUUUUAAUAUUUUUAGAUGUGAUGCAUUUUUAUCUAAUAAAGUAAUUAACAUUUCUCAAGCACUUGACCCCAAACUCUGGUCUUCUUACCCCAAACCACCACACCUCUAACCCAGCAAGUAUGGGGAUAGUGAGAGAGAGCACACAGAGAUAGAGAAGCUGACAUAUGAAGUCAGCCAUGCUUGACUUGCACCGCACCAUCUGUCUCCCUCCAAAUUUUAAUGAGACACCAGGAAGGGGGGAGACUAGAGAAGAGGCUGGAUCCAUUCAAACAGACAUCUUGUUAGACUACAGCGCUUCUCCAAGGUAAUGGUCUGCUGGGUAUUUUUGCUGUAUAGUGGAUAGAUAGAAGUAGACUAACUUCAUGUUGCUGCUGUGUGUUGGAAGAAGGGAGGGGGUAUGGUGUGAGGUGCUUGUGUCUCGGCUUAACCUUCUCUAUUUCACAGGGGUCCCACACACCGCCGGCAUGAUUUGGACUUCUAACCCCUUUUAAACAUUGUGUGUUUGAGCUACAGACUUCUGGGUUGUACCAUUAGAUUUGUACCAUUGGAUUUGUCUAUGUCUCCUGCUUCAGCUUUGUGAUUGACAGGGGCCGAGCUAGAGCGGUGUUUGUGGGACAAGGGAAGAUCCCUAAGCGGCCCGGGGCUGGGUAGAGUUACCUAAAAGCGAUCUAUAAAAAUCUGACUCACAAACAUGCACGUAUCAUGUUUUUGACGCUCACAAGCUAAUUAGAAGUCGUUAGAAGGUAAGGGGUUAUCCUACAAAGAAGAUCAAAGGAAAUCCAAGGACAUAGUGCCUAUAAUAAACUCCAAACUGCACAGUUGUCACUGACUAGUUGGAUAUUCAUUUCCCACUGACCAAACAAUUUAUGUACAUACAGCAUUCAUAUAAAUACAUUCAGGUUUUUGCAUUGGCUGACUAUUAAAAAAUAUAUAUGCAUUAGUCAAAACUUGUCAAAUUGUUUAACUUGUAGCCCUGGUUGUCCUGAAAAUAAAAUGGUAAAACACUGAGGCUAAAUAUAAGGGCUGGACAUGCAGACAAAUGAAAGUCAUAAACGAAAAGACGAUUUUUGUUGGGGUCUCAAGACUGGUAAGUUUAGCCUUUUCUCUGCUGACAUUUAUGGAGAAAGCCACUCAUUAAAAAACGUCAAUCUACUACACAAUAGAGGAUUCACCACCGUCUCAGUAUAUUACAGAUUUUGUCCUUGCUUCAAGUGCUCCAUCUGAAGCUUCUAAGGAGCACUCAAUCUUAGAUCAUGUUCUUUCCCUUGUUCAUCCUUGCCUACACACUCUCUCAGAUUAUAUAACAGGGCAAAGCAAAAUCCAACUGAUAGGCUAAAUUUGCCUCUUGUCAUAAUCUGUCUUUAAUGAUGAGGAAUGGGCCAUGUUUUCAAAGACUUUUCCAGAGGCUGGUUUUACAUGAGCCCUAUGCAGUUAAUUACAGCUGUAUAACAAGUACCUCAAAGCUGAGUCCUCACACAAUAUAACUCCGCUCUUAUGUAUAAAAUAGGCUAGGUCUAUUCCUUAUUCCAUGUUUAGUCACAGCUACUAUCAAAUUCAAUCCCAACAUGUUAAGGAUAGCUUCAGACAUCUCAAACAUACAAUCUCUUGUGCCUCACUGAAGGAUGUAUCCUGCUCUGCAUAGCACCACAGAGACAAUGAGUGAUGACCAGGGACAGAGCACACCUUCGGGUUUCUCAAAAACAUUCCUCAUCCAAAGCAAGUCAGUCUUUGGGCAACAGGGGCAGGGGGACAACACAGACAUACAGUACUCCUAGGGGACAGUAGGGACACUGUGCUCUUUAGUGUCCCUAGUGGAUGCCAGGUGACCCUACUGAUCCACUGGGCUGCCUGCAUUACUGCAUAUGGGUCAAAGGUACACAAUUACACCAAAUAGACUAGAGCAGGGGUAUUCUUACCCUAGGAGGUAAUUGCACCCACCAGGUGCCCCAGGUCUAAACCAGUCCCUGAAUAGAGGGGAACAAUGGGAAAAAAAUCAAAGAAUCGAGUUUGAGGGGACUAAAGCAACAAACAGUUUUCAGUUCUUUAUUAACUGAAAAAGAGGAAUUGUCAAAUGUUAUAAGGCACAUAUUUUCGCAUCUGCACAGAUGUCAUACUGAGCGACCCAAAAGUCAAUGUUGUCAAUAACUUAAAAAGGUACAAAGUGUGUAGCGCUUGGAUUGUACAUGAAUAUAGUAUGUUCUCCUGUGUGACAUAUUCACAAUCUGUCUAGUACAAAAAUACCACAUUCAAAUCAGGACAAAAUCCUGAGUUGCUUUCAACUAUUCGAACAGACAGGACCAAUUGCUGGCGUGUGAAAAUACAUUAUUUCUUUUUGUAAUCGCACAUUUUUGGAUGUAUACAUUCUACAGACAUAGCUUGGACUACUGGCCUGAAAAACUGGCAAAUGCUCUCUGUCAUGUAACCUUAAAAAACACAUUGCUAAACAAUGCCAGUAGAUUCAUUUUGUCACACUUUAAUUAAAUGCUUCUUCAACCUUUCACCUGAAUAAAACAUCCCCAGAUCAAACUUGGCACGGUGUGUACUGACAGUCCUUUGGUAAACAGGAAAUUGAAAGUAAGACCGCACCAGAGCCAACAUGAAUCCCACUGUCGUUACAGAAUGAGUGAGAUGUAGCGGAUAAAAGUUCUGCCCUUGAGCUAACAUGGUUGUCUUAGUUGCCACACAUCUUCAUCCAUCAAAAAGGCACCUAUGAAGCCACUCCUGUAAUACUUCUCCAUUCAAUUUGAUAGUUUUGCAGCUCAAUUCUCUCAUGGCAAAAUGGCACUUGGCAGGAAGCUUCAAUUAAGACAAAUGGCAGGUCCAAGGACACAAGGAGAUAGUGAAGUGUGGGUGAGAGGAUGAAAUGAGUGACCUGAAAACUUGCCUAGUUAAAUAAAGAUAAAAAAUAAUAAAAAAAAAAAAAAAACAGCUAUAUGAGGGAUGAGUACAUUAAGCUGGGAGUCAGGGGGGGUCAUCCUUUGGGUGCAGCAAGUCUCUGGGUAAAUUGGGACCCAGUUCAUGGAGGCAGGGCUGAGGCAUACAUCCCCAGCGGGGCCCAGCCAUCCUAGAGCAGGACCCAAUUCAACCCCUACCCUUCCCCUUGGCCGAGAUCUAUUAGAUAGGAGCAAUAUGGUGGACGCUUUAGUACUACACUGCUCAGGGCUCUCCAACGCUGUUCCUGGACAGCUGCCGUCCUGUAGGUUCGCUCCAACGCUGUUCCUGGACAGCUGCCGUCCUGUAGGUUUGGAGUGAACCUACAGGAAGGUAGCUCUCGAGGAACAGGGUUGGAGAACGCUGACACUGCUUAUACCUAUUAAGACCCGACAGACAUGCUAACAUCAAGGGGUUAGGGCCAAGGGGAGGUAUGUGGAACCAGCCACUACUCUAUGGCCCUGGGCAUGGUGGCUACGUAAACGAAGACUACGAUGAGCAGCACCACCACAGCCAGCGUGGGUAGAACCACUGUGGCCACCUGUGACCGGGCCUCCUGCAUGGCCGCCUUACGCUCCUUCUUGUCCCUGGACGUCUCCUUCUUGGGCUUCCCCUUCAGCUGCCUCAUGGUGGCGCCCUCCCUGGGCGGGCACACUGCAACACUCCGUAGGGUCAGCCAAGACUCUCAGACAAGUCCUGCAGAUGCAGUGACAGUUACUGAAUCUACAGUUCUGAAGGUGCAGUCGGUGGUGGUCCACUUGCUCGCCAACACCACGCACCUGUGACCAGGAAGAGAACAUACAGUAUACAAAUCAGGCUAUGGCUAUGUAUUUUGAUUCGUUUAUUGGUACUUUGGGCUAUGUCUGACUAAGACUUAAGUGAGAGACAAGAGAACCAUAUUUUACAUUACUUAACCAUAUCUAUAUUACAGAGUUAGCCAAAUCCAAAUGAAGGAUCAUCCUAAACCACAAGAGUGUGGUCAAAAAUGACCAGUUCUAAAAUGCUACUAAAUGACCAUUAUACAGUUCAUCCUCCCUGGUUUCCCCCCUGCACGUCUAAUGGCAACGCUUCCACCGAAGAGAAAUGACACCAGUCGCUAUGACAACCGAACACAGGGCAGCAGAACCACUGCACACUGUUGUUGUUACUUAAUAUACAAAAAAAAAAAAACACUAUCCACUAACAAGGACAUUUUAGCAUAGCAACAGUUACAUAGUCACUUCAGACUAUGUAAAUAUGGGUUUUGAGUAAGACA